Onychostoma macrolepis is the source of this 696-nucleotide long non-coding RNA. RefSeq lists it as uncharacterized. NCBI's taxonomy places the organism in Eukaryota, Metazoa, Chordata, Actinopteri, Cypriniformes, Cyprinidae. The transcript is spliced from 5 exons. The record is from RefSeq and is a predicted model, not a curated record.
AUUUAAUACUGAACACGGAUUACAGUUGCUUGCUUACAGACUGUUGCAAGAAACCGCUGAUGAACUCGACAUCCCCAAAUAAUCCAAAAUGUUCCCGCUGAGGCCCUGGCUGCGGGUUGCCCAGGGACAGCUGUUGCUAGGCAACCAAUGACAUCACCACAGCAACAAUUCUCAGCCUCAUCAGAAGACAGACAGAAAGUGUGAGAGCAGCAGAGAGAAGGACGAAGUGUCUGGUUCUGAACCGUGUGUCUGAUGGACAAACUCCACUCCUCCCUUCCUGUCUGUAACCAUGUGUCUGACUAUGAUGAGCAUGGCAGCAUGUGCACUGUUGUCAUGGCUGGUGAUGUCAUCAGAAUAGAGGCGGAGCAAGUUGUUCCAUUUUCAUUAUUGAUUGUGAAGAUAAAUACAUUUUGUCUUUGGAAUUUCAUGAUGAACUGACGAAGUCUUCACUAUAACACCAGACAUUUUACAUGGGCUCUUGGGUGCAUUGAUGGCACAUAGCAAAUCAUACUGUACCAAGAUAAAUGGGACACCCUGCGAUCCUGUGAACUUUUUAUGGCUGUGUGUGGGUGAAGGCCACAAGACUGAGACUGAGAGUACACCAUUUGCGAACAAAUCCACCGUCUGUUUGAGACCCAGACAUUGCUGCUAAAUAAAGUUUCAUAAAUACAGAGUCUGCUCUCUGUUCAGUGACAC